This 404-nucleotide ribosomal RNA is filed under the name uncultured Faecalibacterium sp. Its description in RNAcentral is "bacterial SSU rRNA". It matches the Rfam family "Bacterial small subunit ribosomal RNA", at positions 355 to 776 of the family's 1533-position model. The record is from RNAcentral. Lineage: Bacteria; Bacillati; Bacillota; Clostridia; Eubacteriales; Oscillospiraceae.
UGGGGAAUAUUGCACAAUGGGGGAAACCCUGAUGCAGCGACGCCGCGUGGAGGAAGAAGGUCUUCGGAUUGUAAACUCCUGUUGUUGGGGAAAAGAAGGAUGGUACCCAACAAGGAAGUGACGGCUAACUACGUGCCAGCAGCCGCGGUAAAACGUAGGUCACGAGCGUUGUCCGGAAUUACUGGGUGUAAAGGGAGCGCAGGCGGGUAUGCAAGUUGGGAGUGAAAUACAUGGGCUCAACCCAUGAACUGCUCUCAAAACUGUGUAUCUUGAGUAGUGCAGAGGUAGGCGGAAUUCCCGGUGUAGCGGUGGAAUGCGUAGAUAUCGGGAGGAACACCAGUGGCGAAGGCGGCCUGCUGGGCACCAACUGACGCUGAGGCUCGAAAGUGUGGGUAGCAAACAGG